Artibeus jamaicensis (Jamaican fruit-eating bat) is the source of this 416-nucleotide non-coding RNA. NCBI's taxonomy places the organism in Eukaryota, Metazoa, Chordata, Mammalia, Chiroptera, Phyllostomidae. The record is from the annotation of a RefSeq genome assembly.
ACUCUGCUGGAGACCUGUCAGCAUGACGCCUGCUGCCUUGCUCUGGGCAGCCCUGGUCUCUGCCUGUCUGGGAUCCAGUGUGGCCCAGAAGGUCAAUCAGUCUCAGGCAGAAGCAUCCGUGCAAGAGGCAGAGACUAUGACCCUGGCCUGCACAUAUGACACAAGCGACAGUGAUUAUUAUUUGUUCUGGUACAAACAGCCUCCCAGUGGGGAGAUGAUUCUCAUUAUCCGCCAAGAAGCUUUUAAGAAACAAAAUGCAACGAAUAAUCGCUUCUCUGCGAACUUCCAGAAAGAAAGCAAAUACUUUGGCCUCAGGAUCUCAGACUCCCAGCUGGAGGAUGCAGCGAUGUAUUUCUGUGCUCUGUCAGAGGCACAGUGAGAUGAGUGACAGGGGGAGGCGUACAGAAACCUCAGAC